GUCAGUCGGACGGCAGCACGGCGAGCUUGCUCCUGGUGGCGAGUGGCGAACGGGUGAGUAAUAUAUCGGAACGUGCCCUAGAGUGGGGGAUAACUAGUCGAAAGAUUAGCUAAUACCGCAUACGAUCUACGGAUGAAAGUGGGGGAUCGCAAGACCUCAUGCUCAUGGAGCGGCCGAUAUCUGAUUAGCUAGUUGGUGGGGUAAAAGCUCACCAAGGCGACGAUCAGUAGCUGGUCUGAGAGGACGACCAGCCACACUGGAACUGAGACACGGUCCAGACUCCUACGGGAGGCAGCAGUGGGGAAUUUUGGACAAUGGGCGCAAGCCUGAUCCAGCAAUGCCGCGUGAGUGAAGAAGGCCUUCGGGUUGUAAAGCUCUUUUGUCAGGGAAGAAACGGUCUUGGUUAAUACCUGGGGCUAAUGACGGUACCUGAAGAAUAAGCACCGGCUAACUACGUGCCAGCAGCCGCGGUAAUACGUAGGGUGCAAGCGUUAAUCGGAAUUACUGGGCGUAAAGCGUGCGCAGGCGGUUAUACAAGACAGAUGUGAAAUCCCCGGGCUCAACCUGGGAAUUGCAUUUGUGACUGUAUGGCUAGAGUGUGUCAGAGGGGGGUAGAAUUCCACGUGUAGCAGUGAAAUGCGUAGAUAUGUGGAGGAAUACCGAUGGCGAAGGCAGCCCCCUGGGAUAACACUGACGCUCAUGCACGAAAGCGUGGGGAGCAAACAGGAUUAGAUACCCUGGUAGUCCACGCCCUAAACGAUGUCUACUAGUUGUCGGGUCUUAAUUGACUUGGUAACGCAGCUAACGCGUGAAGUAGACCGCCUGGGGAGUACGGUCGCAAGAUUAAAACUCAAAGGAAUUGACGGGGACCCGCACAAGCGGUGGAUGAUGUGGAUUAAUUCGAUGCAACGCGAAAAACCUUACCUACCCUUGACAUGUACGGAAUCCUGAAGAGAUUUAGGAGUGCUCGAAAGAGAGCCGUAACACAGGUGCUGCAUGGCUGUCGUCAGCUCGUGUCGUGAGAUGUUGGGUUAAGUCCCGCAACGAGCGCAACCCUUGUCAUUAGUUGCUACGAAAGGGCACUCUAAUGAGACUGCCGGUGACAAACCGGAGGAAGGUGGGGAUGACGUCAAGUCCUCAUGGCCCUUAUGGGUAGGGCUUCACACGUCAUACAAUGGUACAUACAGAGGGCCGCCAACCCGCGAGGGGGAGCUAAUCCCAGAAAGUGUAUCGUAGUCCGGAUUGGAGUCUGCAACUCGACUCCAUGAAGUUGGAAUCGCUAGUAAUCGCGGAUCAGCAUGUCGCGGUGAAUACGUUCCCGGGUCUUGUACACACCGCCCGUCACACCAUGGGUUCGGGAGUACUGACUAGAAUGUAGAGUAUCUCUAACCGUAAGAAGGCCGAUUCCG
RNAcentral lists this ribosomal RNA (1409 nucleotides) under Herbaspirillum hiltneri. RNAcentral's name for it is "bacterial SSU rRNA". It matches the Rfam family "Bacterial small subunit ribosomal RNA". The record is from RNAcentral. Lineage: Bacteria; Pseudomonadati; Pseudomonadota; Betaproteobacteria; Burkholderiales; Oxalobacteraceae.